RNAcentral lists this ribosomal RNA (497 nucleotides) under uncultured bacterium. RNAcentral's name for it is "partial 16S ribosomal RNA". It matches the Rfam family "Bacterial small subunit ribosomal RNA", at positions 28 to 507 of the family's 1533-position model. The record is from RNAcentral.
GAUGAACGCUGGCGGCGUGCCUAAUACAUGCCAGUCGAGCGAACAGACGAGGAGCUUGCUCCUUUGACGUUAGCGGCGGACGGGUGAGUAACACGUAGGUAACCUACCUAUAAGACUGGGAUAACUUCGGGAAACCGGAGCUAAUACCGGAUAAUAUUUCGAACCGCAUGGUUCGAUAGUGAAAGAUGGCUUUGCUAUCACUUAUAGAUGGACCUGCGCUGUAUUAGCUAGUUGGUAAGGUAACGGCUUACCAAGGCAACGAUACGUAGCCGACCUGAGAGGGUGAUCGGCCACACUGGAACUGAGACACGGUCCAGACUCCUACGGGAGGCAGCAGUAGGGAAUCUUCCGCAAUGGGCGAAAGCCUGACGGAGCAACGCCGCGUGAGUGAUGAAGGUCUUCGGAUCGUAAAACUCUGUUAUUAGGGAAGAACAAACGUGUAAGUAACUGUGCACGUCUUGACGGUACCUAAUCAGAAAGCCACGGCUAACUACGUG